AGUGAACGCUGGCGGUAGGCCUAACACAUGCAAGUCGAACGAAAGGACAGUAAGAUUGUGCCUUUACGGGUGGCGAGGGGCGGAUGGGUAAGGAAUAGAUCGGAAACUUAUUUUACGGGGAGGACAACGGAGGGAAACUGAUACUAACACCGAAUACGUUCUACGGGAUAGAGCAAUGGAGAUUGAGGCUUUUGGCGACAGAAUGAGACGGUGCCGGAUUGGCUAGUUGGCGGGGUAACGGCACACCAAGGCCACGAUACGAAGCGGAGCUGAGAGGAUGAUCGGCCACACUGGAACUGAGACACGGUCCAGACUCCUACGGGAGGCAGCAGUAGGGAAUCUUCCGCAAUGGGCGAAAGCCUGACCCAGCCAUGCCGCGUGAGUGAUGAAGGCCUUCGGAUCGUAAAGCCCUUUUAUUGGGGAAGAACAGCUGUGGAUUAAUCCCCCGCCGUUCUGACGGUACCCAAUCAAUAAGCCCCGGCUAACUUCGUG
Molecule: ribosomal RNA, 492 nt
Filed under: uncultured bacterium
Lineage: Bacteria
Description: partial 16S ribosomal RNA
Rfam family: Bacterial small subunit ribosomal RNA
Source: RNAcentral